CCAAUAGCGUAUAUUAAAGUUGUUGCAGUUAAGAAGCUCGUAGUUGAAUUUCGGGGUCAGCAGGUUGGUCGUGCCAAUGGUAUGAACUGGCCUUGCUGAUUCCUCCCUCUUGAUGAGCCGUAAUGCCAUUAAUUUGGUGUUGCGGGGAAUCAGGACUGUUACUUUGAAAAAAUUAGAGUGUUUAAAGCAGGCAAGCGCUUGAAUACAUUAGCAUGGAAUAAUGAAAUAGGACGUUUGAUCCUAUUUUGUUGGUUUCUAGGAUUGACGUAAUGAUUAAUAGGGAUAGUUGGGGGCAUUAGUAUUCAAUUGUCAGAGGUGAAAUUCUUGGAUUUAUUGAAGACUGACUACUGCGAAAGCAUUUGCCAAGGAUGUUUUCAUUAAUCAAGAACGAAAGUUAGGGGAUCGAAGACGAUCAGAUACCGUCGUAGUCUUAACCAUAAACUAUGCCGACUAGGGAUCGGAUGAUGUUAAUUUUUUAAUGACUCAUUCGGCGCCUUACG
Molecule: ribosomal RNA, 500 nt
Filed under: uncultured Glomeromycotina
Lineage: Eukaryota; Fungi; Glomeromycota
Description: partial small subunit ribosomal RNA
Rfam family: Eukaryotic small subunit ribosomal RNA
Source: RNAcentral